Molecule: ribosomal RNA, 468 nt
Filed under: uncultured bacterium
Lineage: Bacteria
Description: partial 16S ribosomal RNA
Rfam family: Bacterial small subunit ribosomal RNA
Source: RNAcentral
GACGAACGCCGGCGGCGUGCUUAACACAUGCAAGUCGAACGGAAAGGCCCUGCUUUUGUGGGGUGCUCGAGUGGCGAACGGGUGAGUAACACGUGAGUAACCUGCCCUUGACUUUGGGAUAACUUCAGGAAACUGGGGCUAAUACCGGAUAGGAGCUCCUGCUGCAUGGUGGGGGUUGGAAAGUUUCGGCGGUUGGGGAUGGACUCGCGGCUCAUCAGCUUGUUGGUGGGGUAGUGGCUUACCAAGGCUUUGACGGGUAGCCGGCCUGAGAGGGUGACCGGCCACAUUGGGACUGAGAUACGGCCCAGACUCCUACGGGAGGCAGCAGUGGGGAAUAUUGCACAAUGGGCGGAAGCCUGAUGCAGCAACGCCGCGUGCGGGAUGACGGCCUUCGGGUUGUAAACCGCUUUCGCCUGUGACGAAGCGUGAGUGACGGUAAUGGGUAAAGAAGCACCGGCUAACUACGUG